This 734-nucleotide long non-coding RNA is filed under the name Micromonas commoda. Its description in RNAcentral is "long non-coding RNA (MCOM_LNC000290)". Lineage: Eukaryota; Viridiplantae; Chlorophyta; Mamiellophyceae; Mamiellales; Mamiellaceae. The record is from RNAcentral.
CCCGGCCAAGAAGGCCACCCCGGCGAAGAAAACCGACGCGGUGACGAAGAAGACCCCGGCCAAGAAGGCCACCCCGAAGGCGACCGCCAAGGGCGGCAAGGCGAAUCCGGUGGCGGUGUCCGAGGACGACAAGUACGACGACCUUCCCGCAGACUUUGAGGACGAGGAGAUCCCCGAGGAGGAGGCGUUUGCACCAUCCGACGAUAAAAAAUACGCCAAGAUUUUUGGGGGGUUGGACCUUCCAGAUGACUUUGAUGACGAGGAGAUUGACGAGGACGCCGCGUUCACCGCGGAGGACAAGAAGAAGUAUGGCAAAAUCUUCUCACCGGCGACGAAGAAAACGGAGACUAAGAAAGCCGCGCCUCCCAAGGCGAAGGCUGAGGCCAAGAAGACCCCGGCGAAGAAGGCCACCCCGAAGGCGACCGCCAGGGGGGGCAAGGCCGCGAAGGCGAAUCCGGUGGCGGUGUCCGAGGACGACAAGUACGACGACCUUCCCGCAGACUUUGAGGACGAGGAGAUCCCCGAGGAGGAGGCGUUUGCACCAUCCGACGAUAAAAAAUACGCCAAGAUUUUUGGGGGGUUGGACCUUCCAGAUGACUUUGAUGACGAGGAGAUUGACGAGGACGCCGCGUUCACCGCGGAGGACAAGAAGAAGUAUGGCAAAAUCUUCUCACCGGCGACGAAGAAAACGGAGACUAAGAAAGCCGCGCCUCCCAAGGCGAAGGCUGAGGCCA